This 155-nucleotide ribosomal RNA is filed under the name Topeliopsis decorticans. Its description in RNAcentral is "5.8S ribosomal RNA". It matches the Rfam family "5.8S ribosomal RNA". Rfam says of the family: 5.8S ribosomal RNA (5.8S rRNA) is a component of the large subunit of the eukaryotic ribosome. RNAcentral also lists the same sequence under 2 other names. The record is from RNAcentral. Lineage: Eukaryota; Fungi; Ascomycota; Lecanoromycetes; Ostropales; Graphidaceae.
AAAACUUUUAACAACGGAUCUCUUGGUUCUGGCAUCGAUGAAGAACGCAGCGAAAUGCGAUAAGUAAUGUGAAUUGCAGAAUUUAGUGAAUCAUCGAAUCUUUGAACGCACAUUGCGCCCUCUGGUAUUCCGGGGGGCAUGCCUGUUCGAGCGUC